GACGAACGCUGGCGGCGUGCUUAACACAUGCCAGUCGAACGGAAAGGCCCUGCUUUUGUGGGGUGCUCGAGUGGCGAACGGGUGAGUAACACGUGAGUAACCUGUCCUUGACUUUGGGAUAACUUCAGGAAACUGGGGCUAAUACCGGAUAGGAGCUCCUGCUGCAUGGUGGGGGUUGGAAAGUUUCGGCGGUUGGGGAUGGACUCGCGGCUUAUCAGCUUGUUGGUGGGGUAGUGGCUUACCAAGGCUUUGACGGGUAGCCGGCCUGGGAGGGUGACCGGCCACAUUGGGACUGAGGUACGGCCCAGACUCCUACGGGAGGCAGCGGUGGAGAAUAUUGCACAAUGGGCGGAAGCCUGAUGCAGCAACGCCGCGUGCGGGAUGACGGCCUUCGGGUUGUAAACCGCUUUCGCCUGUGACGAAGCGUGAGUGACGGUAAUGGGUAAAGAAGCACCGGCUAACUACGUG
Molecule: ribosomal RNA, 468 nt
Filed under: uncultured bacterium
Lineage: Bacteria
Description: partial 16S ribosomal RNA
Rfam family: Bacterial small subunit ribosomal RNA
Source: RNAcentral